GAUAAACGCUGGCGGCGCACAUAAGACAUGCAAGUCGAACGGACUUAACUCAUUCUUAUAGAUUGAGAGCGGUUAGUGGCGGACUGGUGAGUAACACGUAAGCAACCUGCCUAUCAGAGGGGAAUAACAGUGAGAAAUCACUGCUAAUACCGCAUAAGCUAGUAAUAUCGCAUGAUAUAGCUAGAAAAGGAGUAAUCCGCUGAUAGAUGGGCUUGCGCCUGAUUAGCUAGUUGGUAAGGUAAUGGCUUACCAAGGCGACGAUCAGUAGCCGGACUGAGAGGUUGAACGGCCACAUUGGGACUGAGAUACGGCCCAG
Molecule: ribosomal RNA, 316 nt
Filed under: uncultured bacterium
Lineage: Bacteria
Description: bacterial SSU rRNA
Rfam family: Bacterial small subunit ribosomal RNA
Source: RNAcentral